UGGGGAAUUUUGGACAAUGGGCGAAAGCCUGAUCCAGCAAUGCCGCGUGUGUGAAGAAGGCCUUCGGGUUGUAAAGCACUUUUGUCCGGAAAGAAAUCCUUGGCUCUAAUACAGUCGGGGGAUGACGGUACCGGAAGAAUAAGCACCGGCUAACUACGUGCCAGCAGCCGCGGUAAUACGUAGGGUGCAAGCGUUAAUCGGAAUUACUGGGCGUAAAGCGUGCGCAGGCGGUUUGCUAAGACCGAUGUGAAAUCCCCGGGCUCAACCUGGGAACUGCAUUGGUGACUGGCAGGCUAGAGUAUGGCAGAGGGGGGUAGAAUUCCACGUGUAGCAGUGAAAUGCGUAGAGAUGUGGAGGAAUACCGAUGGCGAAGGCAGCCCCCUGGGCCAAUACUGACGCUCAUGCACGAAAGCGUGGGGAGCAAACAGGAUUAGAUACCCUAGUAGUCCACGCCCUAAACGAUGUCAACUAGUUGUUGGGGAUUCAUUUCCUUAGUAACGUAGCUAACGCGUGAAGUUGACCGCCUGGGGAGUACGGUCGCAAGAUUAAAACUUAAAUGAAUUGACGGGGUCAUAGCUGUUUCCU
This 585-nucleotide ribosomal RNA is filed under the name uncultured bacterium. RNAcentral's name for it is "partial 16S ribosomal RNA". It matches the Rfam family "Bacterial small subunit ribosomal RNA", at positions 355 to 1375 of the family's 1533-position model. The record is from RNAcentral.